UGGGAACCUUCCCUAUGGUUCGGAAUAGCUCAGGGGAAACUUGGGGUAAUACCGGAUAAGCCCUUCGGGGGAAAGAUUUAUCGCCGAAAGAUUGGCCCGCGUCUGAUUAGCUAGUUGGUGAGGUAAUGGCUCACCAAGGCGACGAUCAGUAGCUGGUCUGAGAGGGUGACCGGCCACACUGGGACUGAGACACGGCCCAGACUCCUACGGGAGGCAG
This 217-nucleotide ribosomal RNA is filed under the name uncultured bacterium. Its description in RNAcentral is "partial 16S ribosomal RNA". It matches the Rfam family "Bacterial small subunit ribosomal RNA", at positions 118 to 351 of the family's 1533-position model. The record is from RNAcentral.